Molecule: long non-coding RNA, 213 nt
Filed under: Trifolium pratense (red clover)
Lineage: Eukaryota; Viridiplantae; Streptophyta; Magnoliopsida; Fabales; Fabaceae
Description: long non-coding RNA (TPRA_LNC011879)
Source: RNAcentral
GGUUGAUUACGAAAGUUGCGAAAACAUGAAAGUAGUAAAGAUGAUUAAUUUGACAGAGAGAUUAAAUUGCUGGGAUUAGAUUUCAAUCACUCAUUCAUACACAUUCCCCUAAUCAGUUACACAUGUUCUAGUCAUCUAUCAAUAUUAUCACGUAUCGCUCGUCGAACGUUUCCGUGUCCAGAUAACGCCGAGAUAUCUAUUGCAUCUAUUAAC